Sarcophilus harrisii (Tasmanian devil) is the source of this 1012-nucleotide long non-coding RNA. RefSeq lists it as uncharacterized. Lineage: Eukaryota; Metazoa; Chordata; Mammalia; Dasyuromorphia; Dasyuridae. The record is from RefSeq and is a predicted model, not a curated record. The transcript has 2 exons.
AAGCCCAGGAGGUGACGCAAGCAGUUGCUCGGGCGAGAGAAUAACAGGAAGCGGGGACGAGGAAAAAACGGACCGGGCUGCAGCCCGAGGGUUCCGGCUCUCUUCGUUCCUCCCACCUUUCUCAGCACGUGCCAGAGGGGUAAUCUGGAAAAAGAUUUCGAUGCCGCGUCUUGUAGGGCCGCUUCCCAGUCGGGUUCCUAAGUUGUUACUGACACAUUCGCGCGGAGCUGAAGCGAACGUAGCUGGGCUGGCCCUACCACCCCACUGCGCAAGCGCCGGCGGAGCCCCCAGUCAGAUUUCUGGGGGAGGGGGUUGAGGAGGAGGAAAAGGGAGGGGGGUUAAGGGAAGAGGAGGAAGGGAAGACGCUGCUGAGGAAAGGAAGGAGAGAAGCCAGUAAUAAAAGGAGAAAGCGAAGCGGGAGGGAGGACAAUCUUUCCGUUAACUGGCUUUAAAAUUGAUAUCAAAUCCAAAUCGCAGUGCUUAUUCAAGCCUCUGUUUGACAGAGGCUUGCUGUGGGUCUUAGUCCUUCUGAAAAUGGCAAAUAUUGAAGAAAAAGUCAACUGCGUCCUCUGGUUGGCUGAACUCAAAUCAGCAACAGCUGUAAGAAGAAAAUUUGCUUCCCAUUAUAAGAAAGAGGCUCCCCACAGAAAUUUAAUUAACAACUGGAUGAAAAAAUUCAAGGAAACGGGCUCAAUUCAUGACAAGCCCAGAUCUGGGAGACCUCGAGCAAGUGAAGACACUGUGGCUGAAAUUGCAACUGAAGUAUUUAUAGCACAAGAUGGUGGUUAUGUUGAAUUUUAAUAAGAAACUUAUCAGUAUUUUAAAAUUUUAUAUAAUUUUUAAGUGUUAUUUGUUAGUUUGUAGCAUUUAUACUUCUGAAGUUAUUAAAGCUUAGAACUGCACUAAUAGUUUUGGGACAGCUUAUAUUUAUAGUCUGAGGGGCUGGGUUCCAGACAUGGUUCUGCUGUUUUGUAUAUAUAUAACCUUAGAUAAACCAUUUAACUUCUCUGGA